CAAUAGCGUAUAUUUAAGUUGUUGCAGUUAAAAAGCUCGUAGUUGGAUUUUGGGUCGGGGGCACCGGUCCGCCGUUCCGGUGUGCACUGGUGGCCCCUUCCUUUCUGCCGGGGACGUGCGUCACACUUAAUUGGGUGGCGUUCGGAGUCGGCGUUGUUACUUUGAAAAAAUUAGAGUGUUCAAAGCAAGCCAUCGCUCUGAAUACAUUAGCAUGGAAUAACAUGAUAGGACUCUGGUCUUAUUUUGUUGGUUUCCGAGACUGGAGUAAUGAUUAAGAGGGACAGUCGGGGGCAUCCGUAUUUCAUUGUCAGAGGUGAAAUUCUUGGAUUUAUGAAAGACGAACUUCUGCGAAAGCAUUUGCCAAGGAUGUUUUCAUUAA
This 379-nucleotide ribosomal RNA is filed under the name uncultured eukaryote. RNAcentral's name for it is "partial 18S ribosomal RNA". It matches the Rfam family "Eukaryotic small subunit ribosomal RNA", at positions 592 to 976 of the family's 1831-position model. The record is from RNAcentral.